UACGGAAGGCAGCAGGGGGAAUAUUGCACAAUGGGCGAAAGCCUGAUGCAGCUAUGCCGCGUGUAUGAAGAAGGCCUUAGGGUUGUAAAGUACUUUCAUCGGGGAGGAAAAAACAAAACUAAUAAUUUUAUUUCUUGACGUUACCCGAAAAAGAAGCACCGGCUAACUCCGUGCCAGCAGCCGCGGUAAUACGGAGGGUGCUAGCGUUAAUCAGAAUUACUGGGCGUAAAGAGCACGUAGGUGGUUUUUUUAAGUCAGAUGUGAAAUCCCUGGGCUUAACCUGGAACUGCAUUUUGAAACUGAAAUACUAGAGUAUCGUAGAGGGAGGUAGAAUUCUAGGUGUAGCGGUGAAAUGCGUAGAUAUCUGGAGGAAUACCUGUGGCGAAAGCGGCCUCCUAAACGAAUACUGACACUGAGGGUGCGAAAGCGUGGGGAGCGAAACAGGGAUUAGAUA
RNAcentral lists this ribosomal RNA (454 nucleotides) under uncultured bacterium. RNAcentral describes it as "bacterial SSU rRNA". It matches the Rfam family "Bacterial small subunit ribosomal RNA", at positions 340 to 784 of the family's 1533-position model. The record is from RNAcentral.